Molecule: non-coding RNA, 916 nt
Organism: Pantherophis guttatus
Lineage: Eukaryota; Metazoa; Chordata; Lepidosauria; Squamata; Colubridae
Source: RefSeq, a predicted model, not a curated record
GCUUAGAAGUCAUUCCAAAAUCAAACCUGGAAAAUGGCAAUACCAAACAAUCUGCAUUGUUGCCAAGAAAAUAGUAUAGUAUAGCAUAAAUAUUUAGACAAAUUUGGGUUUGAGAUAAAUUGUGGCUGCUCUGAAAAUGUCCCUGCUUCUGGGACAGAGCCAUGUAGCCAAGAAAAGCCACCUUUCCUCUCUUGCUCUCCUUUCCCAGUGUGAGCUCAGAAGUUCAGGAGAUCUACAGUACAAAAGUGUUUGCCCAUAUGACUGAGGUAAUGAUGGAACAGACUGAAUAAUUCUGUGGCAAAUUGCAAUGUCUACUGAAUGCAGCAUCAAGAGAGCACAUAGUAUUAUGAAAGGAAACAUGCAUGCAAACUUUACACCUGGCUAUAUGGGUUGGACAAGAUUUGAACCAAAUGGAUUACAUAAUAGGAAAAAAAGUUGAGAAGUGCAAUUCAAUCAGCCAAAUCACUUCCAGGAGCAGAUUGUGGUACAAAGACAAGAGAAACUCAUCUGGACACAAUGUUAUUUCUAUCUUUCCAUCCAAGAGACCCAAGAAACACACCAAAUUAUUUAGAGAUGGGAGGCAAAACAAAACACUGUGGAAGAAGAUUGGGCUAUAAACUUCUAGAUUAAGAAGGCAGGUAAGGAUUGACUGACAAGAAGUAGAGCAUCUUUCCCUUUUGUUUUGCAGUGAUUUUGAGGUUUCUGAGGAAGACAGGAGAGAAUAUUGUUGGCUUAGCAGGAAUCUUGGAGAAGACAUAGUGUCUGGCACACUGGCUGCCUUUAACAAGACAGCUAUAUUUCAGGAAAAGACCUCUUGCUAUUAUUCCCUGACAUUUUAGCCAUGCAGUGCCUUCUGACUGCACAGAAACUCUGCCUUUUGUUUUUGAACAAAUUAUAAUGAAUUACCUGUAACUAA